GACGAACGCUGGCGGCGUGCUUAACACAUGCAAGUCGAACGGAAAGGCCCUGCUUUUGUGGGGUGCUCGAGUGGCGAACGGGUGAGUAACACGUGAGUAACCUGCCCUUGACUUUGGGAUAACUUCAGGAAACUGGGGCUAAUACCGGAUAGGAGCUCCUGCUGCAUGGUGGGGGUUGGAAAGUUUCGGCGGUUGGGGAUGGACUCGCGGCUUAUCAGCUUGUUGGUGGGGUAGUGGCUUACCAAGGCUUUGACCGGUAGCCGGCCUGAGAGGGUGACCGGCCACAUUGGGACUGAGAUACGGCCCAGACUCGUACGGGAGGCAGCAGUGGGGAAUAUUGCACAAUGGGAGGAAGCCUGAUGCAGCAACGCCGCGUGCGGGAUGACGGCCUUCGGGUUGUAAACCGAUUUCGCCUGUGACGAAGCGUGAGUGACGGUAAUGGGUAAAGAAGCACCGGCUAACUACGUG
This 468-nucleotide ribosomal RNA is filed under the name uncultured bacterium. RNAcentral's name for it is "partial 16S ribosomal RNA". It matches the Rfam family "Bacterial small subunit ribosomal RNA", at positions 28 to 507 of the family's 1533-position model. The record is from RNAcentral.